CCCUUAGAUGUCCUGGGCUGCACGCGCGCUACACUGGAAGUUACGGAUUGAGAUACUACCUUGUCCGAAAUGGUCCGGGUAAUCACCUAAAAGCUUGUCAUAAUUGGAAUGGAUUAUUGUAACUAGUAAUCCUGAACGAGGAAUUCCUAGUAAGUCCCAGUCAACAGCUGGUACUGAUUACGACCCUGCCCUUUGUACACACCGCCCGUCGCUACUACUGAUUGGACGUUUAAGCAAGAUUUUUAAACACUGACAGUGUGUAGUUCACGCUAUACUACAGUGAGAAGAAGAAGAUCGAGCUUACUUGUCUAGAGGAAGUAAAAGUCGUAACA
This 332-nucleotide ribosomal RNA is filed under the name uncultured eukaryote. Its description in RNAcentral is "partial 18S ribosomal RNA". It matches the Rfam family "Eukaryotic small subunit ribosomal RNA", at positions 1470 to 1796 of the family's 1831-position model. The record is from RNAcentral.